CCUACGGGAGGCAGCAGUGGGGAAUAUUGGGCAAUGGGCGCAAGCCUGACCCAGCAAAGCCGCGUGAAGGAAGAAGGCUUUCGGGUUGUAAACUUCUUUUGUCAGGGAAGAGUAGAAGACGGUACCUGACGAAUAAGCCACGGCUAACUACGAGCCAGCAGCCGCGGUAAUACGGAGGUGGAAAGAGUUGUCCGGAUUUACUGGGUGUAAAGGGCGUGUAGGCGGGUUGACAAGUCAGAUGGUAAAUCCUGCGGCUUAACCGCAGAACUGGAUUUGAAACUGGUGAUCUUGAGUACUGGAGAGGCAGACGGAAUUCCUAGUGUAGCGGUGAAAUGCGUAGAUAUUAGGAGGAACACCAGUGGCGAAGGCGGUCUGCUGGACAGCAACUGACGGUGAGGCGCGAAAGCGUGGGGAGCAAACAGGAUUAGAUACCCUUGUAGUC
Molecule: ribosomal RNA, 442 nt
Filed under: uncultured bacterium
Lineage: Bacteria
Description: partial 16S ribosomal RNA
Rfam family: Bacterial small subunit ribosomal RNA
Source: RNAcentral